This is a long non-coding RNA of Ornithodoros turicata, 354 nucleotides long. RefSeq lists it as uncharacterized. Lineage: Eukaryota; Metazoa; Arthropoda; Arachnida; Ixodida; Argasidae. The record is from RefSeq and is a predicted model, not a curated record. The transcript is spliced from 3 exons.
AACUCCAGGCGCGCAUGCUGGGCAUGCACGUAAACUGUAGCUGGGCAUGCACGCUCAUCAUCAGUAACAAGCAGCGAAGAAUUGCUUUGAUGGUGUUCUGGCAAAUUGUCGUCCUUGUGCUCGUCUCGGCUACAAUUGCGAGUGAUUAUAGUCAACAUGGCCAGAAGAGUACCCAGGAUGCCGAACAUGGACAGUCGUAUCACGAUCGACAGUUUUUCGGAAAGGCAGACUUUCCUUUCCCAUGUCGAACAUUCAGAUGCCGUGAUCUUAGCCAAUGUCCCGUAGGGUGCAACUGCGGAGAGGACAAAAGGUGCCACUAUUUAAAUACGGAGAAAUAAAAAUUUAAAAUAGAAA